RNAcentral lists this ribosomal RNA (253 nucleotides) under uncultured bacterium. RNAcentral describes it as "partial 16S ribosomal RNA". It matches the Rfam family "Bacterial small subunit ribosomal RNA", at positions 524 to 776 of the family's 1533-position model. The record is from RNAcentral.
UACGUAGGGUGCUAGCGUUGUCCGGAAUCAUUGGGCGUAAAGCGCGCGUAGGCGGCCAGAUAAGUCCGGUGUGAAAGUCACAGGCUCAACCUGUGAAUGCCGCUGGAAACUGUCUGGCUUGAGUCCGGAAGGGGCGAGUGGAAUUCCUGGUGUAGCGGUGAAAUGCGCAGAUAUCAGGAAGAACACCUAUGGCGAAGGCAGCUCUCUGGGACGGUACUGACGCUGAGACGCGAAAGCGUGGGGAGCGAACAGG